GAAAAAAUGAAAGAGAAACCGACAUAGCUUUUCGUGUCGUUUCCCACAAACGGCGCCAAAUGUUGAUGCACAAAAUCUCGGAGGAUCUUGGACCAACGUAAAUUCGGCCGUGAAUCACACAAACGCUCAAAAACACAAAGAUGUAUCGUGGUUCACCCCAAUGUUUGGGCUACGUCCACACUGAUGUUGAUUAUGUAUGUAUGUAUGGAUUACAAUAGAUCGGCAAGGGAGCUCUCUGUGGAUG
This 244-nucleotide long non-coding RNA is filed under the name Malus domestica (apple). RNAcentral describes it as "long non-coding RNA (MDOM_LNC010778)". The record is from RNAcentral. Lineage: Eukaryota; Viridiplantae; Streptophyta; Magnoliopsida; Rosales; Rosaceae.